Molecule: ribosomal RNA, 484 nt
Filed under: uncultured bacterium
Lineage: Bacteria
Description: partial 16S ribosomal RNA
Rfam family: Bacterial small subunit ribosomal RNA
Source: RNAcentral
AUUGAACGCUGGCGGUAGGCCUAACACAUGCAAGUCGAGCGGAUGCAGGGAGCUUGCUCCUGGAUUCAGCGGCGGACGGGCGAGUAAUGCCUAGGAAUCUGCCUGGCAGUGGGGGAUAACGUCCGGAAACGGGCGCUAAUACCGCAUACGUCCUGAGGGAGAAAGUGGGGGAUCUUCGGACCUUACGCUAUCAGAUGAGCCGAGGUCGGAUUAGCUAGUUGGUGGGGUAAAGGCCUACCAAGGCGACGAUCCGUAACUGGUCUGAGAGGAUGAUCAGUCACACUGGAACUGAGACACGGUCCAGACUCCUACGGGAGGCAGCAGUGGGGAAUAUUGGACAAUGGGCGAAAGCCUGAUCCAGCCAUGCCGCGUGUGUGAAGAAGGUCUUCGGAUUGUAAAGCACUUUUGUUUGGGAAGAAGAGCAGUAGGUUAAUACCUUGCUGUUUUGACGGUACCAACAGAAUAGGCACCGGCUAACUUCGUG